AAGGUGACGCACGGGAGCCCGGCACAGCGGGCUGAGAGGGGACGCGAACCGUCCCGACCGUCGAACCUGAUCCGGGUCAUGCCGGCGCAGGGAGCGGGGAGAUGAGCACG
Molecule: non-coding RNA, 110 nt
Filed under: Pseudonocardia benzenivorans CB1190
Lineage: Bacteria; Bacillati; Actinomycetota; Actinomycetes; Pseudonocardiales; Pseudonocardiaceae
Description: Pseudonocardia dioxanivorans CB1190 TPP riboswitch aptamer (THI element)
Rfam family: TPP riboswitch aptamer (THI element)
About the family: Vitamin B(1) in its active form thiamin pyrophosphate (TPP) is an essential coenzyme that is synthesised by coupling of pyrimidine and thiazole moieties in bacteria. The previously detected thiamin-regulatory element, thi box was extended, resulting in a new, highly conserved RNA secondary structure, the THI element, which is widely distributed in eubacteria and also occurs in some archaea.
Source: Rfam by way of RNAcentral